AUACGUAGGUGACAAGCGUUAUCCGGAUUUACUGGGCGUAAAGGGCGUGUAGGCGGUCUUGCAAGUCAGAAGUGAAAUUCCUGAGCUCAACUCGGGCGCUGCUUCUGAAACUGCAGGACUUGAGUGCUGGAGGGGAUAGCGGAAUUCCUAGUGGAGCGGUAAAAUGCGCAGAUAUUAGGAAGAACACCGGUGGCGAAGGCGGCUAUCUGGACAUUAACUGACGCUGAGGCGCGAAAGCGUGGGGAGCAAACAGGAUUAGAUACCCUGUUAGUCCACGCCGUAAACGAUGAAUACUAGGUGUAGGGGGUAUCGACUCCCUCUGUGCCGCAGUUAACACAAUAAGUAUUCCGCCUGGGGAGUACGGCCGCAAGGUUGAAACUCAAAUGAAUUGACGGGG
This 397-nucleotide ribosomal RNA is filed under the name uncultured bacterium. RNAcentral describes it as "partial 16S ribosomal RNA". It matches the Rfam family "Bacterial small subunit ribosomal RNA", at positions 523 to 918 of the family's 1533-position model. The record is from RNAcentral.